CCCACUUCUUCAAAGGUGCAUUGCACCUAUCCAGCACAAUAGUCGGAAUAAAGCCAUAGGGGUUAGCAUAAGCCUUUGAGCCAUUAAUGCCCCUAUCCAACAACUUGAUGAUGAAGGCAGCCCAAUUUAUUUUACUUCCACUUUCGAGUCACUCCAUAAGCACUAGAUCUAUGUAAUUGGCAAUGUGCCUUCUCUCUUGUCUAGGCAAUAAACACUUGUUGACAAAUUCAAACAGGACCUUGUGCUCAGGCCUCAUUUCACUUUUCUGCAUAGCCCUGGCUUCAU
RNAcentral lists this long non-coding RNA (285 nucleotides) under Nicotiana benthamiana. RNAcentral's name for it is "long non-coding RNA (NBEN_LNC005278)". The record is from RNAcentral. Lineage: Eukaryota; Viridiplantae; Streptophyta; Magnoliopsida; Solanales; Solanaceae.